Molecule: ribosomal RNA, 873 nt
Filed under: uncultured bacterium
Lineage: Bacteria
Description: bacterial SSU rRNA
Rfam family: Bacterial small subunit ribosomal RNA
Source: RNAcentral
AGAGCGAACGCUGGCGGCGUGCUUAACACAUGCAAGUCGAACGCGCAGCAUUCUGUAGCAAUACAGGGUGUGGGCGCGUGGCGAACGGGUGCGUAACACGUGGAUAACCUUCCUUCAGGUGGGGAAUAACCCAGUGAAAAUUGGGCUAAUACCGCAUAACAUGACGAUGGCACAUGCCGUUGUCUUCAAAGCCGCAAGGCGCCAGAAGAGGGAUCCGCGGCCGAUUAGCUUGUUGGCGAGGUAAUGGCUCACCAAGGCAUUGAUCGGUAGCCGGACUGAGAGGUUGGCCGGCCACACUGGAACUGAGACACGGUCCAGACUCCUACGGGAGGCAGCAGUGGGGAAUCUUGCACAAUGGACGAAAGUCUGAUGCAGCAACGCCGCGUGGGGGAUGAAGCUUCUCGGAGUGUAAACCCCUUUCGACCCGGACGAAUGCCCGCAAGGGUUUGACGGUACGGGUAUAAGAAGCCCCGGCUAACUACGUGCCAGCAGCCGCGGUAAAACGUAGGGGGCCAGCGUUGCUCGGAAUUACUGGGCGUAAAGGGUCCGUAGGCGGUGUGGCAAGUCGGAAGUGAAAUCUCUGGGCUUAACCCAGAGGCUGCUCCCGAAACUGCCGUGCUAGAGGAUGAGAGAGGCGAGUGGAAUUGCGGGUGUAGCGGUGAAAUGCGUAGAUAUCCGCAGGAACAUCCGAGGCGAAAGCGGCUCGCUGGAUCAUUUCUGACGCUGAGGGACGAAAGCUAGGGGAGCAAACAGGAUUAGAUACCCUGGUAGUCCUAGCCCUAAACCAUCAGGACUUGGGGUUUGCCCUGUACGGGGCAAGUCCCGUAGCUAACGCGUUAAGUCCUGCGCCUGGGGAGUACGGUCGCAAGGCUG